UACGUAGGGUGCGAGCGUUAAUCGGAAUCACUGGGCUUACAGAGUUCGUAGACGGUUAUCUAAGUCGGAUGUGAAAGCCCCGGGCUCAACCUGGGAAUUGCAUUCGAGACUGAAUAGCUAGGGUGCGGUAGAGGGAAGCGGAAUUUCCGGUGUAGCGGUGAAAUGCGUAGAUAUCGGAAGGAACAUCAGUGGCGAAAGCGGCUUCCUGGACCAGCACCGACGUUCAGGCACGAAAGCGUGGGGAGCAAACAGG
RNAcentral lists this ribosomal RNA (253 nucleotides) under uncultured bacterium. RNAcentral describes it as "partial 16S ribosomal RNA". It matches the Rfam family "Bacterial small subunit ribosomal RNA", at positions 524 to 776 of the family's 1533-position model. The record is from RNAcentral.